RNAcentral lists this unclassified non-coding RNA (268 nucleotides) under Xylariales sp. RNAcentral's name for it is "partial contains 5.8S ribosomal RNA, internal transcribed spacer 2, and large subunit ribosomal RNA". The record is from RNAcentral. Lineage: Eukaryota; Fungi; Ascomycota; Sordariomycetes; Xylariales.
CGCACAUUGCGCCCAUUAGUACUCUAGUGGGCAUGCCUGUUCGAGCGUCAUUUCAAACCUCAAGCAGCUGCUUGCUUGGUGUUGGGGCUUUUUCUACAGCAGCCUUUCUAGCGCUGUAGGCCCUGAAAGACAUUGGCGGGCUCGCCGCGAACCCGAGCGCAGUAAUAUUUUUCUCGCUCAGGGGCUUGUAGCAAGUUUCUAGCCAUAAAACCCUCUAUAAUUACAGAAGGUUGACCUCGGAUCAGGUAGGAAUACCCGCUGAACUUAA